UGCCUUGUUGUUGUUGGGGUUGUAUCAACAACAGCAGCAGCAGCAGCAAAAUGGCUAGCUCGAAGCAAGAACGAGUCUCUUUUCUCGAUCGACGACCUCAGAGCAGAGGCAAGGCGAGACAAAA
This 124-nucleotide ribosomal RNA is filed under the name Trichogramma chilonis. RNAcentral describes it as "partial 28S ribosomal RNA". The record is from RNAcentral. Lineage: Eukaryota; Metazoa; Arthropoda; Insecta; Hymenoptera; Trichogrammatidae.